Lycium barbarum (goji berry) is the source of this 1452-nucleotide long non-coding RNA. RefSeq lists it as uncharacterized. The transcript is spliced from 3 exons. The record is from RefSeq and is a predicted model, not a curated record. Lineage: Eukaryota; Viridiplantae; Streptophyta; Magnoliopsida; Solanales; Solanaceae.
CAUGAGAAAUUGAAUGUUAAAAUGGAGGGAGAAGUUCUUCAUUCUUUUGACAAGAGAUCCAACCAUUGUAAUAAUCAGAUCAUCAUCAUUAUAUUACUAGGCUAUGUUGCACGUCCCUCAAAAAAUGUUUUUGACCCCGUGGCGGAUCCUCAAAAAUUACAUAGCUUUGGGAGGAUCCUGUUACACCCCGAAUUUUUUUUGCGCGUUAAAGUUGCAUCAUGAGUUAGUCAACGCAAGUUCAAAAGAAAUUAUGUUGAGGAUAGAAGGGAUUGAUUUUAUUAAUAAAAAUGGUUACAAGAGUCUCUAAAUAAUAUUAGUAAGUAGCGGAAGAUUUGGAGGGUGAAUGAAUCAAAAAAGCACGAGUUUCAUUAAAAGUCGGCAAGUUGGGAAUACGAUAACUUGUACUUUUGGGUGAGAUUAGGAGUGCUCCACAUGCUAAGCAAGUAAUGAUAUGAAUUAUUUGAAUUGUAUAAUGGUCUCUUGUUAAGUUUGGAAGUCAAACGAGUUGUAAUACGAAAGUCGACGAAGAGCGUCGCAAGUUAAGUUUGUAAAUUUCACUGAAUUUUGGGUCAGAUGUCUCGGAGAUUUUCUCUCAAUCUACUUGGAGUUACGGGGUGAUCCACCUACCAAAUCGAAGGUCUACGAGUUUAGUUUCCAUUGCAUUUUACCGUUUAUCAAUACGACGUCCGAGUAGAGAGAAAUCUGCAUUUCCGUCCAAGGGUGCAAACUGCCACAGGGCAGUGGGCCCAACUUAAGUGAUAUAAAUAAAGUCCCCAACGUUUUAGGCCCUCAUUUUCAUCAAUAUUAAAUCCUAGAUCAGCCCUUAUACUCUCCCAAAUUUAUUCUCCAUCAAUCACAACUAAGUUCAAAGGCAAAUCAAGUGAUUACAACAUAAGGAAUCACAUGACAAUCAUAGAAUCGUAGAUUUCUCGUUGUUUCGAUUUUCGGAAGAAAGCUUCGUCUUGAAAUAACUUAAGUUGCAGAGUAUUAUUCAACUUUUGAGGAAGUCAGUUAUAAAGUGUUCGAAGCUUAUGGAAAUGUGUAUAACUCCAAUCGACGAGGUACGAUAGACGGAUUGUUGUACCUUUCUCGGUAGGAUACCAAAGUUCAGCAGGGAUGUUCGCACUCCAUUCUCCGGAGUUACUGGUCAGAGUCAUCAAAUAGGACGCAUGCAUAUAUGUAUAUAUAGAGUAUGGCUAUGGGUACGUCGGGGCCACUAUCCCGACUAGUUGAUGCAUAUUAGUGCUCUUAGAGGCUUACAGACUAUCAGUCAGUGUACAGGUAUUGUGUUUGGCCUUGCCGGCCUUCUGACUAGUUGUCUUUCUUGGUUGUGGCCUUGUCGGCCCUAGUUAUGCAUAUAUUUGUUGUUGGGCCUUUUUCUGUUUGCAGAUUGUUAUGAUAUACUUCUUACAAUUGUUAUUCAGCGGCCUUGUCGGCCUAUGAUUCACGUUA